RNAcentral lists this ribosomal RNA (250 nucleotides) under uncultured bacterium. Its description in RNAcentral is "partial 16S ribosomal RNA". It matches the Rfam family "Bacterial small subunit ribosomal RNA", at positions 524 to 773 of the family's 1533-position model. The record is from RNAcentral.
UACGUAGGUGGCGAGCGUUGUCCGGAAUUACUGGGCGUAAAGGGUGCGUAGGCGGGAUCUUAAGUCAGAUGUGAAAACCCCGAGCUUAACUUGGGGACUGCAUUUGAAACUGGGGUCCUAGAGUGCAGGAGAGGAAAGCGGAAUUCCUAGUGUAGCGGUGAAAUGCGUAGAUAUUAGGAAGAACACCAGUGGCGAAGGCGGCUUUCUGGACUGUAACUGACGCUGAGGCACGAAAGCGUGGGGAGCAAAC